UACGUAGGUGGCAAGCGUUGUCCGGAUUUACUGGGCGUAAAGAGCGCGCAGGCGGUCGAGUAAGUCGAAUGUGAAAGCCCCCGGCUUAACUGGGGAGGGUCAUUCGAUACUGUUCGACUUGAAGGCAGGAGAGGGCAGCAGAAUUCCCGGUGUAGUGGUGAAAUGCGUAGAUAUCGGGAGGAAUACCAGUGGCGAAGGCGGCUGCCUGGCCUGUUCUUGACGCUGAGGCGCGAAAGCUAGGGUAGCAAACGGG
Molecule: ribosomal RNA, 253 nt
Filed under: uncultured bacterium
Lineage: Bacteria
Description: partial 16S ribosomal RNA
Rfam family: Bacterial small subunit ribosomal RNA
Source: RNAcentral